UACGUAGGGGGCGAGCGUUAUCCGGAUUCAUUGGGCGUAAAGCGCGCGUAGGCGGCCGCCUAAGCGGAACCUCUAACCCCGGGGCUCAACCUCGGGCCGGGUUCCGGACUGGGCGGCUCGAGUGCGGUAGAGGAGAGCGGAAUUCCCGGUGUAGCGGUGGAAUGCGCAGAUAUCGGGAAGAACACCGAUGGCGAAGGCAGCUCUCUGGGCCGUCACUGACGCUGAGGCGCGAAGGCUGGGGGAGCGAACAGG
This 252-nucleotide ribosomal RNA is filed under the name uncultured bacterium. Its description in RNAcentral is "partial 16S ribosomal RNA". It matches the Rfam family "Bacterial small subunit ribosomal RNA", at positions 524 to 776 of the family's 1533-position model. The record is from RNAcentral.